GAGGGUAUAGCUCAGUGGUAGAGUGCAUGCUUAGCAUGGACAAGAUCCUGGGUUCAAUCCCCAGUUCCCCCA
RNAcentral lists this transfer RNA (72 nucleotides) under Camelus ferus (Wild Bactrian camel). It matches the Rfam family "tRNA". Rfam says of the family: Transfer RNA (tRNA) molecules are approximately 80 nucleotides in length. Their secondary structure includes four short double-helical elements and three loops (D, anti-codon, and T loops). Further hydrogen bonds mediate the characteristic L-shaped molecular structure. tRNAs have two regions of fundamental functional importance: the anti-codon, which is responsible for specific mRNA codon recognition, and the 3' end, to which the tRNAs corresponding amino acid is attached (by aminoacyl-tRNA synthetases). tRNAs cope with the degeneracy of the genetic code in two manners: having more than one tRNA (with a specific anti-codon) for a particular amino acid; and 'wobble' base-pairing, i.e. permitting non-standard base-pairing at the 3rd anti-codon position. The record is from Rfam by way of RNAcentral. Lineage: Eukaryota; Metazoa; Chordata; Mammalia; Artiodactyla; Camelidae.